Molecule: long non-coding RNA, 400 nt
Filed under: Trifolium pratense (red clover)
Lineage: Eukaryota; Viridiplantae; Streptophyta; Magnoliopsida; Fabales; Fabaceae
Description: long non-coding RNA (TPRA_LNC003380)
Source: RNAcentral
UGAUUUGAACGGUAUGACGGCAAAAUAGUUAAAGAAUUCUUUAAUAACACACGCCGUCAACAUGUUAGUCACGUGACUCCAAACGAUAUAAAAGGGGGGUGAAUUGUGUACUCAAAAAAUUAUUAAAAAUAAGCACUUAAAAUAUUUUAACCAAAUAAAAAUAACUUGUAGCGAGAAAUAAAAAAGAUGAAAGGGUAAGAAGAAAAACACAAAGAAAUUAUCCUGGUUCGGCCAAAGACAAAUGGCCUACUCCAGUCCCCAAGGAAAGCACCUUGAGAUUUCACUAAACCAAACUUUUAUAACAGGAUAAGCUAAUAACCUUUACAACCGAGAACUCUCAACACAAACAAUGGGAUAUCACCUCCCUUGUGCAAGAGCCUCUAAACCAAGAGAUAUCACN